UACAGAGGGUGCAAGCGUUGUUCGGAAUCACUGGGCGUAAAGCGCGUGUAGGCUGCUGCGCAAGUCGGAUGUGAAAUCCCACGGCUCAACCAUGGAAGUGCAUUCGAAACUGCGUAGCUAGAGUUUUGGAGAGGAAGGCGGAAUACUCGGUGUAGAGGUGAAAUUCGUAGAUAUCGAGUGGAACACCGGUGGCGAAGGCGGCCUUCUGGACAAUGACUGACGCUGAAACGCGAAAGCGUGGGGAGCAAACAGG
RNAcentral lists this ribosomal RNA (253 nucleotides) under uncultured bacterium. Its description in RNAcentral is "partial 16S ribosomal RNA". It matches the Rfam family "Bacterial small subunit ribosomal RNA", at positions 524 to 776 of the family's 1533-position model. The record is from RNAcentral.